GGUCCAUCAGAUAAGGAUCACUUACAUUGUGACUACUGUGGGAAAUCUUGGCACACCAAAGAACAGUGUUAGAAGUUGCACGGCCGCCCAACUAAAAGGCAUGGAGGAAAAAGGAUGGGCUUUACUAGAUCACAAGCUAAUAUAUCUGGGCUGUGAAUCUGUCUGAAGAUACUACCACCACUGAGAUGUUUUCCAAUAAAGAGGUACAGACUCUAAGGCGUU
This 222-nucleotide unclassified non-coding RNA is filed under the name Hevea brasiliensis (rubber tree). The record is from RNAcentral. Lineage: Eukaryota; Viridiplantae; Streptophyta; Magnoliopsida; Malpighiales; Euphorbiaceae.